This 465-nucleotide ribosomal RNA is filed under the name Vreelandella stevensii. Its description in RNAcentral is "partial 16S ribosomal RNA". It matches the Rfam family "Bacterial small subunit ribosomal RNA", at positions 338 to 795 of the family's 1533-position model. The record is from RNAcentral. Lineage: Bacteria; Pseudomonadati; Pseudomonadota; Gammaproteobacteria; Oceanospirillales; Halomonadaceae.
CCUACGGGGGGCUGCAGUGGGGAAUAUUGGACAAUGGGGGGAACCCUGAUCCAGCCAUGCCGCGUGUGUGAAGAAGGCCCUCGGGUUGUAAAGCACUUUCAGUGAGGAAGAACGCCUGGUGGUUAAUACCCAUCAGGAAAGACAUCACUCACAGAAGAAGCACCGGCUAACUCCGUGCCAGCAGCCGCGGUAAUACGGAGGGUGCGAGCGUUAAUCGGAAUUACUGGGCGUAAAGCGCGCGUAGGUGGCUUGAUAAGCCGGUUGUGAAAGCCCCGGGCUCAACCUGGGAACGGCAUCCGGAACUGUCAAGCUAGAGUGCAGGAGAGGAAGGUAGAAUUCCCGGUGUAGCGGUGAAAUGCGUAGAGCUCGGGAGGAAUACCAGUGGCGAAGGCGGCCUUCUGGACUGACACUGACACUGAGGUGCGAAAGCGUGGGUAGCAAACAGGAUUAGAUACCCGAGUAGUC